RNAcentral lists this ribosomal RNA (253 nucleotides) under uncultured bacterium. Its description in RNAcentral is "partial 16S ribosomal RNA". It matches the Rfam family "Bacterial small subunit ribosomal RNA", at positions 524 to 776 of the family's 1533-position model. The record is from RNAcentral.
UACGUAGGGUGCAAGCGUUGUCCGGAAUUAUUGGGCGUAAAGAGCUCGUAGGCGGUUUGUCGCGUCGAAUGUGAAAACCCGGGGCUCAACCCCGGGCCUGCACUCGAUACGGGCAGACUAGAGUUCGGUAGGGGAGUCUGGAAUUCCUGGUGUAGCGGUGAAAUGCGCAGAUAUCAGGAGGAACACCGGUGGCGAAGGCGGGACUCUGGGCCGAUACUGACGCUGAGGAGCGAAAGCGUGGGGAGCAAACAGG